Molecule: ribosomal RNA, 250 nt
Filed under: uncultured bacterium
Lineage: Bacteria
Description: partial 16S ribosomal RNA
Rfam family: Bacterial small subunit ribosomal RNA
Source: RNAcentral
GUGGGUACUAGGUGUGGGUUUCCUUCCUUGGGAUCCGUGCCGUAGCUAACGCAUUAAGUACCCCGCCUGGGGAGUACGGCCGCAAGGCUAAAACUCAAAGGAAUUGACGGGGGCCCGCACAAGCGGCGGAGCAUGUGGAUUAAUUCGAUGCAACGCGAAGAACCUUACCUGGGUUUGACAUGCACAGGACGCUGGUAGAGAUAUCAGUUCCCUUGUGGCCUGUGUGCAGGUGGUGCAUGGCUGUCGUCAG